CCUACGGGAGGCUGCAGUGAGGAAUAUUGGUCAAUGGACGAGAGUCUGAACCAGCCAAGUAGCGUGAAGGAUGACUGCCCUAUGGGUUGUAAACUUCUUUUAUAUGGGAAUAAAAUGUUCCACGUGUGGGAUUUUGUAUGUACCAUAUGAAUAAGGAUCGGCUAACUCCGUGCCAGCAGCCGCGGUAAUACGGAGGAUCCGAGCGUUAUCAGGAUUUAUUGGGUUUAAAGGGAGCGUAGGUGGAUUGUUAAGUCAGUUGUGAAAGUUUGCGGCUCAACCGUAAAAUUGCAGUUGAAACUGGCAGUCUUGAGUACAGUAGAGGUGGGCGGAAUUCGUGGUGUAGCGGUGAAAUGCUUAGAUAUCACGAAGAACUCCGAUUGCGAAGGCAGUUCACUGGACUGCAACUGACACUGAGGCUCGAAAGUGUGGGUAUCAAACAGGAUUAGAUACCCUUGUAGUC
This 460-nucleotide ribosomal RNA is filed under the name uncultured bacterium. RNAcentral describes it as "partial 16S ribosomal RNA". It matches the Rfam family "Bacterial small subunit ribosomal RNA", at positions 338 to 795 of the family's 1533-position model. The record is from RNAcentral.